UACGAAGGGGGCUAGCGUUGCUCGGAAUCACUGGGCGUAAAGGGUACGUAGGCGGGUCUUUAAGUCAGGGGUGAAAUCCUGGAGCUCAACUCCAGAACUGCCUUUGAUACUGAGAAGCUUGAGUCCGGGAGAGGUGAGUGGAACUGCGAGUGUAGAGGUGAAAUUCGUAGAUAUUCGCAAGAACACCAGUGGCGAAGGCGGCUCACUGGCCCGGUACUGACGCUGAGGUGCGAAAGCGUGGGGAGCAAACAGG
RNAcentral lists this ribosomal RNA (253 nucleotides) under uncultured bacterium. Its description in RNAcentral is "partial 16S ribosomal RNA". It matches the Rfam family "Bacterial small subunit ribosomal RNA", at positions 524 to 776 of the family's 1533-position model. The record is from RNAcentral.